Molecule: ribosomal RNA, 404 nt
Filed under: uncultured bacterium
Lineage: Bacteria
Description: bacterial SSU rRNA
Rfam family: Bacterial small subunit ribosomal RNA
Source: RNAcentral
CAGGGAAUAUUGCGCAAUGGACGGAAGUCUGACGCAGCGACGCCGCGUGGAUGAUGAAGGCCUUCGGGUUGUAAAAUCCUUUUCAGGGGGAAGAGCGAGGACGGUACCCCUGGAAUAAGCGUCGGCUAACUACGUGCCAGCAGCCGCGGUAAGACGUAGGACGCGAGCGUUAUCCGGAUUUACUGGGCGUAAAGCGUCUGUAGGCGGAAGUGUAAGUUGGACGUGAAAGCUCCGGGCUCAACUCGGAGAGGCCGUUCAAUACUGCACAACUAGAGGCCAUCAGAGGGGCGUGGAAUUUCCGGUGUAGCGGUAAAAUGCGCAGAUAUCGGAAGGAACACCAGUGGCGAAGGCGGCGCCCUGGGGUGGGCCUGACGCUAAGAGACGAAAGCUAGGGGAGCGAACAG